UGAGGCAGGAGAAUUGCUUGAACCUGGGAGGUGGAGGUUGCAGUGAGCCAAGAUUGCACCAUUGCACUCCAGCCUGGGCGACAGAGCAAGACUCUGUCUUG
This is a microRNA precursor of Pan paniscus (pygmy chimpanzee), 101 nucleotides long. The record is from Ensembl. NCBI's taxonomy places the organism in Eukaryota, Metazoa, Chordata, Mammalia, Primates, Hominidae.